This 598-nucleotide ribosomal RNA is filed under the name uncultured bacterium. RNAcentral's name for it is "bacterial SSU rRNA". It matches the Rfam family "Bacterial small subunit ribosomal RNA", at positions 338 to 950 of the family's 1533-position model. The record is from RNAcentral.
CCUACGGGAGGCAGCAGUGGGGAAUCUUGCGCAAUGGGCGAAAGCCUGACGCAGCAACGCCGCGUGCGGGAAGAAGGCUUUCGGGCUGUAAACCGCUUUCAGCAGGAACGAAAAUGACGGUACCUGCAGAAGAAGGAGCGGCCAACUAUGUGCCAGCAGCCGCGGUGAUACAUAGGCUUCAAGCGUUGUCCGGAUUUAUUGGGCGUAAAGAGUUCGUAGGCGGUCGAGUAAGUCGGGUGUGAAAAUUCUGGGCUCAACCCAGAGACGCCACCCGAUACUGCUUAACUUGAGUUCGAUAGGGGAGUGGGGAAUUCCUAGUGUAGCGGUGAAAUGCGCAGAUAUUAGGAGGAACACCGGUGGCGAAGGCGCCACUCUGGAUCGAUACUGACGCUGAGGAACGAAAGCAUGGGUAGCAAACAGGAUUAGAUACCCUGGUAGUCCAUGCCGUAAACGGUGGGCACUAGGUGUGGGAUUCUAUUAACGAAUUCCGNGCCGUCGCUAACGCAUUAAGUGCCCCGCCUGGGGGAGGUACGGUCGCAGACUAAACUACAAGAAGUAGACGCGNGAGACGUGCCGACGACGACGACGAGGGAGUAGG